RNAcentral lists this ribosomal RNA (450 nucleotides) under uncultured bacterium. RNAcentral's name for it is "partial 16S ribosomal RNA". It matches the Rfam family "Bacterial small subunit ribosomal RNA", at positions 354 to 796 of the family's 1533-position model. The record is from RNAcentral.
GUGGGGAAUUUUGGACAAUGGGCGCAAGCCUGAUCCAGCAAUGCCGCGUGCAGGAUGAAGGCCUUCGGGUUGUAAACUGCUUUUGUACGGAACGAAAAGCCCUGGGUUAAUACCCUGGGGUCAUGACGGUACCGUAAGAAUAAGCACCGGCUAACUACGUGCCAGCAGCCGCGGUAAUACGUAGGGUGCGAGCGUUAAUCGGAAUUACUGGGCGUAAAGCGUGCGCAGGCGGUUUUGUAAGACAGAGGUGAAAUCCCCGGGCUCAACCUGGGAACUGCCUUUGUGACUGCAAGGCUAGAGUACGGCAGAGGGGGAUGGAAUUCCGCGUGUAGCAGUGAAAUGCGUAGAUAUGCGGAGGAACACCGAUGGCGAAGGCAAUCCCCUGGGCCUGUACUGACGCUCAUGCACGAAAGCGUGGGGAGCAAACAGGAUUAGAUACCCCGGUAGUCC